AGUCUAAGGUAUUUGUCUUAGAUUGAGUCUGCCCACUGUUUUAAUGAAGGGCCGCAGAACUUUAACUGUGCAAAGGUAGCGUGAUCACUUGUCUUUUAAAUGAAGACUGUAUGAACGGCCGCACGUGGCGGAACUGUCUCUUUUGGACUGCCUUGAAUUUUCUAAGUAGGUGAAAAAACCUACAUACAGCAAAAAGACGAGAAGACCCUAAGAGCUUUGACGAAAAAUCUUUAUUAGAUUUGAGUUUUUGUUGGGGCAACAGGGGAACAGAACUUCCCUCUUAGACCUGCUAUCUAGGAUAGAAGGAAAAAGCUACCUUAGGGAUAACAGCAUAAUUUUUUAAAAAGUUUGUGACCUCGAUGUUGGACUAGGUAUAAGAAGGUCUCAGAAGGACCUUUUUAGGCUCUGUUCGAGCAUUUUAACCU
RNAcentral lists this ribosomal RNA (425 nucleotides) under Siphonaria zelandica. Its description in RNAcentral is "partial large subunit ribosomal RNA". It matches the Rfam family "Bacterial large subunit ribosomal RNA", at positions 1829 to 2596 of the family's 2925-position model. The record is from RNAcentral. Lineage: Eukaryota; Metazoa; Mollusca; Gastropoda; Siphonariida; Siphonariidae. RNAcentral also lists the same sequence under 2 other names.